GUUCGGGCACCACCACAACCAGGCACCGGCGGCGCCGUCGGACCCGAACCAGAUCUUCAAGAUCUUCUGCCGCGCCAACGAGAACUACUGCCUCACCGUCCGCGACAGCGCCGUCGUCCUCGCCCCCGUCAACCCCAAGGACGAGCACCAGGUCAGGUCCCCCUUCUUAUAUAUGCCUUUUCUUUUGUUUCUAUAUUCGAUCGGAUUUUGAUGUAUACUGAAAUGGAAUGAAUUGAAAUGCAGCACUGGUUCAAGGACAUGAGGUUCAGCACCAAGGUGAAGGACGGGGAGGGCAUGCCGGCGUUCGCCCUCGUCAACAAGGCCACCGGACUCGCCGUCAAGCACUCCCUCGGCCAGUCCCACCCCGUAAUACUAUAUUUCUAUUUUGCUGCUAGCUUUGUGCGUGCUGCCAUGGAAGAUCGAAGAACGUUGACUUCGAUGUCAUGGACUCAUGGCGGGUGAUGGGUGUGCAGGUGAAGCUUGUGCCGUUCAACCCGGAGUACGAGGACGCGUCGGUGCUGUGGACGGAGAGCAAGGACGUCGGCAAGGGCUUCCGCUGCAUCCGCAUGGUCAACAACACCCGCCUCAACUUGGACGCCUUCCACGGCGACAAGGACCACGGCGGCGUCCGCGACGGCACCACCGUCGUGCUCUGGGAGUGGUGCAAGGGCGACAACCAGAGCUGGAAGAUCCUCCCCUGGGGCCCCGAGGCUCACUCCUCCUCCCCCGGCGCCGCCACCGCCUGCACCAUCGGCGGCGUCCCCGUCCACACCGUCCGCGUCUUCUCCGCCGCAGGCGAGGACUACUGCCUCACCGUCCGCAACGGCACCGCCUGCCUCGCCCCCAAGAACCCCAGGGACGACUACCAGGUACGUAUUCUCCUCUUAAUUAUAUACUACUAUUCAGAUAGAGAAAAACCUUGAGAGAUUUGUGGUUGUGGUUUGUAGCACUGGAUCAAGGACAUGAGGCACAGCAACAAGAUCAGGGACGAGGAAGGCUACCCGGCGUUCGCGCUGGUCAACAAGGUCACCGGCGAAGCCAUCAAGCACUCCACCGGACAGGGCCACCCGGUGAGCAAAUCUUUUCUUACAAAAUAAAUAUUUUCUUACAUAUGCAACGAAUCUCUGAAUCACAACGAACGAUUUUCUCUGCGCAUGCAGGUGAAGCUGGUUCCCUACAACCCAGAGUACCAGGACGAGUCUGUGCUGUGGACGGAGAGCAAGGAUGUGGGCAAGGGCUUCCGCUGCAUCCGCAUGGUGAACAACAUCUACCUCAACUUCGACGCCUUCCAUGGCGACAAGGAUCACGGCGGCAUCCACGAUGGCACCGAGAUCGUGCUGUGGAAGUGGUGCGAGGGUGACAACCAGCGCUGGAAGAUCCUCCCCUGGUGUAAGUUCCACCGCUAACAAUGCACAAUGCCAUCGCUGAUCGAUUAAUUUCCUUCGGAUCCUCUGAAGAAAUCAGAGAUUCUGACACUUGGAUUGCUGCUUCUUUGCAUCUGCAGAGAU
This 1508-nucleotide long non-coding RNA is filed under the name Oryza sativa (Asian cultivated rice). RNAcentral's name for it is "long non-coding RNA (OSAT_LNC001429)". Lineage: Eukaryota; Viridiplantae; Streptophyta; Magnoliopsida; Poales; Poaceae. The record is from RNAcentral.